This 165-nucleotide small nuclear RNA is filed under the name Salvator merianae (Argentine black and white tegu). RNAcentral's name for it is "U1 spliceosomal RNA (ENSSMRG00000009477.1)". It matches the Rfam family "U1 spliceosomal RNA". Rfam says of the family: U1 is a small nuclear RNA (snRNA) component of the spliceosome (involved in pre-mRNA splicing). Its 5' end forms complementary base pairs with the 5' splice junction, thus defining the 5' donor site of an intron. The record is from Rfam by way of RNAcentral. Lineage: Eukaryota; Metazoa; Chordata; Lepidosauria; Squamata; Teiidae.
GUAACUGCUUGGCAGGGGAGACACCUUGAUCACGAAGGAGGUUUUCCCAGAGUGAGGUUCAGCCAUUUGCAUUCUGGCUGUGCUGACCCCUGCAAGUUCCCCAAAUGUGGGAAACCUGACUGCAUAAUUUGUGGUAGUGGGAGACAGCAUGUGCGCUUUCCCGUU